Molecule: ribosomal RNA, 433 nt
Filed under: uncultured bacterium
Lineage: Bacteria
Description: partial 16S ribosomal RNA
Rfam family: Bacterial small subunit ribosomal RNA
Source: RNAcentral
AACGAACGCUGGCGGCAUGCCUAACACAUGCAAGUCGAACGAGACCUUCGGGUCUAGUGGCGCACGGGUGCGUAACGCGUGGGAACCUGCCCUUAGGUUCGGAAUAACUCCCCGAAAGGGGUGCUAAUACCGGAUAAUGUCUUCGGACCAAAGAUUUAUCGCCUUUGGAUGGGCCCGCGUUGGAUUAGCUAGUUGGUAGGGUAAAAGCCUACCAAGGCGACGAUCCAUAGCUGGUCUGAGAGGAUGACCAGCCACACUGGGACUGAGACACGGCCCAGACUCCUACGGGAGGCAGCAGUGGGGAAUAUUGGACAAGGGGCGAAAGCCUGAUCCAGCAAUGCCGCGUGAGUGAUGAAGGCCGUAGGGUUGUAAAGCUCUUUUACCCGGGAUGAUAAUGACAGUACCGGGAGAAUAAGCUCCGGCUAACUCCGUG